Molecule: non-coding RNA, 295 nt
Organism: Edwardsiella ictaluri 93-146
Lineage: Bacteria; Pseudomonadati; Pseudomonadota; Gammaproteobacteria; Enterobacterales; Hafniaceae
Source: Rfam
AAGGGUUGUCAGCGUACAAAAAACUGUGAUAACUCUGUAAGCAUCGUAUGUCAAAACAACAGAUUUCACUGUUUAUGAGCCUAUUCGUCCAAGUGAUUAGCCUAGUCGUGAUUAGUGUGGUGGUGAUUAUUAUACCACCGUGCGGGGCUGCACUUGGACGAAUAAGGGCUUAAAAAUCAAGCCAGAAUCAGAAAAGAGCCUCCGCACCAUCCGGUCCGGGGGCUCUUUUUUUACGCCGCGGCCGGCGGAGGCAGGGAUAGCUUGAAUCAGAAUAAAAUUCUGAAAACUAUGGUAU